Molecule: ribosomal RNA, 442 nt
Filed under: uncultured bacterium
Lineage: Bacteria
Description: partial 16S ribosomal RNA
Rfam family: Bacterial small subunit ribosomal RNA
Source: RNAcentral
CCUACGGGGGACAGCAGUGGGGGAUAUUGCACAAUGGGGGAAACCCUGAUGCAGCGACGCCGCGUGGGCGAAGAAGUAUUUCGGUAUGUAAAGCCCUAUCAGCAGGGAAGAAGAAAUGACGGUACCUGCGUAAGAAGCACCGGCUAAAUACGUGCCAGCAGCCGCGGUAAUACGUAUGGUGCAAGCGUUAUCCGGAUUUACUGGGUGUAAAGGGAGCGCAGGCGGCACGGCAAGCCUGAUGUGAAAGCACGCGGCGCAACCGCGGGACUGCAUUGGGAACUGCCGGGCUGGAGUGCCGGAGAGGUAGGCGGAAUUCCGAGUGUAGCGGUGAAAUGCGUAGAUAUUAGGAGGAACACCAGUGGCGAAGGCGGCCUACUGGACGGUGACUGACGCUGAGGCUCGAAAGCGUGGGGAGCAAACAGGAUUAGAUACCCCAGUAGUC